RNAcentral lists this long non-coding RNA (1742 nucleotides) under Coffea arabica (coffee). RNAcentral describes it as "long non-coding RNA (CARA_LNC001895)". Lineage: Eukaryota; Viridiplantae; Streptophyta; Magnoliopsida; Gentianales; Rubiaceae. The record is from RNAcentral.
GAGGCAAUCUAAUUUUUCCAGUUCGUUUGAAAGAAGCAGAAGCGGGCGAUCUUGGCAUGACACAUGGAGAUCAUAUGAUAAUUCACAUUCUAGAUGGUAAAAAUGCAGUGAAAGGCAUCUUUGUGUUAUCUCUAUAUUAAGAUCUUGUAAGUGAUAGGAAGUUUCUAAUUAAUACAAAGUUCAAUGGCAAUUGCUUAGGAAUUGAAAACAUUGAAUAUAUAUAUAUAUAUAUAUAUAUAUAGAUGUUUAUGUUCAAUCAAUGCAUUGUAAGUGUAAGUCUAAGGUUAAUUAUUGAAAAGUUCAAUAUUAAGAUCUUGUAAGUGAUAGGAAGUUUCUAAUUAAUACAAAGUUCAAUGGCAAUUGCUUAGGAAUUGAAAACAUUGAAUAUAUAUAUAUAUAUAUAUAUAUGUUUAUGUUCAAUCAAUGCAUUGUAAGUGUAAGUCUAAGGUUAAUUAUUGAAAAGUUCAAUAUUAAGAUCUUGUAAGUGAUAGGAAGUUUCUAAUUAACACAAAGUUCAAUGGCAAUUGCUUAGGAAUUGAAAACAUUGAAUAUAUAUAUAUAUAUAUAUAUGUUUAUGUUCAAUCAAUGCAUUGUAAGUGUAAGUCUAAGGUUAAUUAUUGAAAAGUUCAAUAUUAAGAUCUUGUAAGUGAUAGGAAGUUUCUAAUUAACACAAAGUUCAAUGGCAAUUGCUUAGGAAUUGAAAACAUUGAAUAUAUAUAUAUAUAUAUAUAUGUUUAUGUUCAAUCAAUGCAUUGUAAGUGUAAGUCUAAGGUUAAUUAUUGAAAAGUUCAAUAUUAAGAUCUUGUAAGUGAUAGGAAGUUUCUAAUUAACACAAAGUUCAAUGGCAAUUGCUUAGGAAUUGAAAACAUUGAAUAUAUAUAUAUAUGUUUAUGUUCAAUCAAUGCGUUGUAAGUGUAAGCCUAAGGUUAAUUAUUGAAAAGUUCAAUAUUAAGAUCUUGUAAGUGAUAGGAAGUUUCUAAUUAACACAAAAUUCAAUGGCAAUUGCUUUGGAAUUGAAAACAUUGAAUAUAUAUAUAUAUAUAUAUUCAAUGUUUAUGUUCAAUCAAUUCUAAUCCCAAUGUUUGUCAAUGGAAACUUCAUGUAUUCACAAGUUAAUUUUCUUGUUUCAUAAACUAAUUCGAUCCUUCCAAUGGCUUGUUAGACUACAAGCCAUACAUAAUUGCUAGCAGCAUAAAAUAAAUUGAGUAAGCGAAAACAUUUUGAUUAAAAGAAUGUUUUUUGUUAGCUUCUCUUGAAUUUUUAAUUAUUUUUAUAUUUUUAGUUGUUAUAUUACACUGUAUAUAGUCUUUGAUCGAAUUUAAUCGGUUUAGUCACAAUUUUAGAUUAUCCUUCACAGUGAAAAGGAGACACGAUCGAACCGAUCAAGCACGAUCAAAUCGAUCAAACCGAUCAAUACGUUAACACAAAGUUCAAUGGCAAUUGCUUAGGAAAAUUGAAAACAUUGAAUAUAUAUAUAUAUAUAUAUGUUUAUGUUCAAUCAAUGCGUUGUAAGUGUAAGCCUAAGGUUAAUUAUUGAAAAGUUCAAUAUUAAGAUCUUGUAAGUGAUAGGAAAUUAGGAAUUCUUACAGUUCUCCAUAUGAUAGAGGGCACUGGUCUGGGAGGCAAUCUAAUUUUUCCAAUUCGUUUGAAAGAAGCAGAAGCGGGCGAUCUUGGCAUGACACAUGGAGAUCAUAUGAUAAUUCACAUUCUAGAUGGUAAAAAUGCAGUGAAAGGCAUCUUUG